AGUGAACGCUGGCGGUAGGCCUAACACAUGCAAGUCGAACGGCAGCACAGUAAGAGCUUGCUCUUACGGGUGGCGAGUGGCGGACGGGUGAGGAAUACAUCGGAAUCUACUUUUUCGUGGGGGAUAACGUAGGGAAACUUACGCUAAUACCGCAUACGACCUACGGGUGAAAGCAGGGGAUCUUCGGACCUUGCGCGAUUGAAUGAGCCGAUGUCGGAUUAGCUAGUUUGCGGGGUAAAGGCCCACCAAGGCGACGAUCCGUAGCUGGUCUGAGAGGAUGAUCAGCCACACUGGAACUGAGACACGGUCCAGACUCCUACGGGAGGCAGCAGUGGGGAAUAUUGGACAAUGGGCGAAAGCCUGAUCCAGCCAUACCGCGUGGGUGAAGAAGGCCUUCGGGUUGUAAAGCCCUUUUGUUGGGAAAGAAAAGCAGCAGGUUAAUACCCCGCUGUUCUGACGGUACCCAAAGAAUAAGCACCGGCUAACUUCGUG
This 492-nucleotide ribosomal RNA is filed under the name uncultured bacterium. Its description in RNAcentral is "partial 16S ribosomal RNA". It matches the Rfam family "Bacterial small subunit ribosomal RNA", at positions 29 to 507 of the family's 1533-position model. The record is from RNAcentral.